UAUUUUCUCCCCUCAACGUUCAAUAUUACAAAGGCUUGAAUUCAAAACUUCAAGCAUGUGAAAUCCUCGAUAAUAAGGUUUGUAAACCCAAAGACUGAAAUUGGGUUUUUGGUUCGGGAAUUAGUUAUCCCGGAUUUCAUUUUCCCGUGGUUAGUUAUCCCACCCUCAAUGUGGGAUAAAAAAUAAAGCUACAAUUCCAGAAGAAGUACUAGAUAAGUUAUGUAGCUAAUUUUAUUCCAAUCAAAUAUGGAUAAAUUCAUCCUAAAAUUAAUAUUCCUUAUCCCUCCUACCAAACUAGCCAGAGUUGGGAAAAUAUGGUUUCUUAUAAAAUUUUCCCAUCUAAAUGCUUCCUUUCCAUCACUCACUGCUCCAAAAAGGACCUAAAAAAUGACCACACUAUCUUCAAUUUAUCUUGGUACAAAACUCCCGAAAAUCUCCCUGAAUGCCGAAGUAGGUGUAUUUAGACCACAAAAGCUGUGCAGAACUGUAUGCUUAUUUGGUGGCAAAGGGAAGGCAAGCAAUGACAAUGAGGCUUCUCCAUCGAAAGCUCUUGAGAAAGCCAUGGGAAAUCUGAAGAAGGAAAAGUCAGUUGAGGAUUUAUUGAAGCAACAAAUUAAAAAACAAGAAUGAGGAGAUGGUGUUGGAGAUCGUCCAGGUGGUGGCGGUGGAGGUGGCAGUGGUGGUUUUGGUGGAGCAGAGGCUGAAGGCAUUCCAGGGAUCUUGGAUGAGCUUGGACAAGUAGGCUUGGCACCUAUGGGCUUCAUAUUGUUGUAUAUGUACAUAAUUGAAAGCGAGGAGAUCAGAGUGUUCACAAAGGAUAUUCUCAAGUUUAUCUUUCUAAGGCAAAAGAGUAUACAUCUUGGGCGCACAAUUGCAGGGUGGGAAAGCUACUUCAAAAGCCUGUCCAAGAAAGAAGUAGAUCCAUAUUGGUUGGAAAAGGAGAUUCUUAAUACCACUACUUGGUAUGACAGCCCCACAAACUAUAGGCAGAUUCUCAGACUGGUGCAAUCCGAUUCUUAUUAUUGAUAUGAAACCUUUUCAGCUUUAUCUCUGUGCUGUCACAUUUUGUACUGGUUUAAACAGUUUUUUACUGCCUGUUUGAAUAACAGAAUGAAUAACAGAAAAAACAGUUAGUAUUUUGCGUCAU
This is an RNA transcript of Capsicum annuum, 1147 nucleotides long. RefSeq lists it as uncharacterized. The transcript is spliced from 3 exons. The record is from RefSeq and is a predicted model, not a curated record. NCBI's taxonomy places the organism in Eukaryota, Viridiplantae, Streptophyta, Magnoliopsida, Solanales, Solanaceae.